CAUUACUCCCUCCGUCCCGAAAAAAACGAAUCUAGGACGGGAUGUGACACAUUCUAGUACAACGAAUCUGGACAGAGGUAUGUCCAGAUUCGUAGUACUAGGAUGUGUCACAUCCAGUACUAGGUUGGUUUUUUAUGGGACGGAGGGAGU
Molecule: unclassified non-coding RNA, 150 nt
Filed under: Oryza sativa (Asian cultivated rice)
Lineage: Eukaryota; Viridiplantae; Streptophyta; Magnoliopsida; Poales; Poaceae
Description: partial microRNA MIR468j-1 precursor
Source: RNAcentral